UCAGUGAAAUUGAACUCGCUGUGAAGAUGCAGUGUACCCGCGGCAAGACGGAAAGACCCCGUGAACCUUUACUAUAGCUUGACACUGAACAUUGAGCCUUGAUGUGUAGGAUAGGUGGGAGGCUUUGAAGUGUGGACGCCAGUCUGCAUGGAGCCGACCUUGAAAUACCACCCUUUAAUGUUUGAUGUUCUAACGUGGACCCGUAAUCCGGGUUGCGGACAGUGUCUGGUGGGUAGUUUGACUGGGGCGGUCUCCUCCUAAAGAGUAACGGAGGAGCACGAAGGUUGGCUAAUCCUGGUCGGACAUCAGGAGGUUAGUGCAAUGGCAUAAGCCAGCUUGACUGCGAGCGUGACGGCGCGAGCAGGUGCGAAAGCAGGUCAUAGUGAUCCGGUGGUUCUGAAUGGAAGGGCCAUCGCUCAACGGAUAAAAGGUACUCCGGGGAUAACAGGCUGAUACCGCCCAAGAGUUCAUAUCGACGGCGGUGUUUGGCACCUCGAUGUCGGCUCAUCACAUCCUGGGGCUGAAGUAGGUCCCAAGGGUAUGGCUGUUCGCCAUUUAAAGUGGUACGCGAGCUGGGUUUAGAACGUCGUGAGACAGUUCGGUCCCUAUCUGCCGUGGGCGCUGGAGAACUGAGGGGGGCUGCUCCUAGUACGAGAGGACCGGAGUGGACGCAUCACUGGUGUUCGGGUUGUCAUGCCAAUGGCACUGCCCGGUAGCUAAAUGCGGAAGAGAUAAGUGCUGAAAGCAUCUAAGCACGAAACUUGCCCCGAGAUGAGUUCUCCCUGACUCCUUGAGAGUCCUGAAGGAACGUUGAAGACGACGACGUUGAUAGGCCGGGUGUGUAAGCGCAGCGAUGCGUUGAGCUAACCGGUACUAAUGAACCGUGAGGCUUAACCUU
Molecule: ribosomal RNA, 898 nt
Filed under: Escherichia coli
Lineage: Bacteria; Pseudomonadati; Pseudomonadota; Gammaproteobacteria; Enterobacterales; Enterobacteriaceae
Description: partial 23S ribosomal RNA
Rfam family: Bacterial large subunit ribosomal RNA
Source: RNAcentral